This is a long non-coding RNA of Neofelis nebulosa (Clouded leopard), 790 nucleotides long. RefSeq lists it as uncharacterized. The record is from RefSeq and is a predicted model, not a curated record. Lineage: Eukaryota; Metazoa; Chordata; Mammalia; Carnivora; Felidae. The transcript is spliced from 2 exons.
UUAAGCAUCUGACCUCUGCUCUCCGCUCAGGUCUUGAUCUCAGGGUCAUCAGUUCAAGUCCUGGGUGCAGCCCCUUGCUGGGUGUGAAUCCUACUUAAAGUGAAUAAAUGAAAUUAAUCUCACCACCGAGAGGACCUUGGAUGUGACCUUGGAAAGCUCCUUAAUCUUUCUGUGCCUCCGACCUAAUACAAGGGCAAUGAUAGAACACACCCGGUAGUUUUCUUGUGAUGAUUACAUGAGAUAAUGUGUACAAAGCCACUUAGACAGUGACAGACACCCAUAAGCACUACCGUUAGUCUUGUACACUAUCGUUUAUUUGUAUAAUAACACCAACAGGCUCUCUGCUCUCUGAGGAGUUUUCCUGAUUUUCACUUUGUUCAUUUCCUCCCCUUCCCCAAUUUUUACUUUGUUGUUUUGUUUGUUUCAGUUUUUAAUCCAUCUCUGGCUGGCUCCUACUUCUUGGAGAGAAAGCCUCUCUCCUUCAGAAGCCACACAGCGUCCCUCCCUCAUCCAUUCAUUCAGAUCAUUAAUGAAGAUGUUAAAUGAGACCAGAAUGAAACCGCGUCCCCGUGGCAUCCCGCUAGACACCUUCCAACAACUUGACGCUCUGCCAUUUGCUGUUUCAUUACCCUUUGUUUACCUUGCAAACACAGGCCCUCGCUUUUGAAAGAGGCAGAAAGCUUGAUAUUUCUAUUGCUGCAAAGAUGCCACUGAAGGGUGGGGACGUGAAAACCUGGCGUAUUGUAAAUACGUCCUUUUGAGUUUGAAAUAAACGUGGAUUACAAAUUGA